This 346-nucleotide RNase P RNA is filed under the name human gut metagenome. Its description in RNAcentral is "Bacterial RNase P class A". It matches the Rfam family "Bacterial RNase P class A". Rfam says of the family: Ribonuclease P (RNase P) is a ubiquitous endoribonuclease, found in archaea, bacteria and eukarya as well as chloroplasts and mitochondria. Its best characterised activity is the generation of mature 5'-ends of tRNAs by cleaving the 5'-leader elements of precursor-tRNAs. The record is from RNAcentral.
AGCAAGCUGGACGGCCGCGGGAGAUGCGCGAAAGCAAACUUCCGAGGAAAGUCCGGGCUCCGAAGGGCAGGAUAACGGCUAACGGCCGCCGGGGGUGACCCCAGGGAAAGUGCAACAGAAAAUUACCGCCGCGGCAGUAAUACCGCGGUAAGGAUGGAACGGCGAGGUAAGAGCUCACCAGCGUCAUGGAGACUUGACGGCUAUGCAAACCCUAUCCGGAGCAACACCGCAGAGGGACAUUAUGCGCCGGCCCGGCGCGUCCCGGGGAGGUGGCACUGAGCCGCGGCGGCAACGCCCGGCCAAGAUAGAUGGUCGUCUAAACAGAACCCGGCUUAUAGGUUUGGUC